This 372-nucleotide long non-coding RNA is filed under the name Elaeis guineensis (African oil palm). RNAcentral's name for it is "long non-coding RNA (EGUI_LNC028395)". The record is from RNAcentral. Lineage: Eukaryota; Viridiplantae; Streptophyta; Magnoliopsida; Arecales; Arecaceae.
AGGGGUUGAUCGAUUAACACGAUGAUGGAGUGCACAUGAAAAUAGGGUUGGAGCCUUCGCACUGAGGUCACCAAGGUGUAGGCGAUCUUCUCCACCUUGGGGUACCUGAUGUUGGCAUCUCUUAGUACCCGACUUGUGUAGUAAAUAGGCUUCUGUGCUCCUCCUUUCCAGAUAAGGACCGAGUUGAUGGCUAUGAAGAAAAUUACAAGGUACAGGUAGGAUCUGGUCAAGAGCACGGUCGAGGUGAGGUAUUUUCAAAGCUGAUCAAAGAUUUCCUCUAGUGCCAUUCUGUUGUGGUUUGGAAUCGGAUGACUCAGAUGGCUGGGUCGAUCUCUGCUCCCGCAUGUGUGAGAUAUUGUCCGCUUUGGCCAC